CCCCACGGACAGCAUCUGAGA
Molecule: unclassified non-coding RNA, 21 nt
Filed under: Mus musculus (house mouse)
Lineage: Eukaryota; Metazoa; Chordata; Mammalia; Rodentia; Muridae
Description: oocyte_clustered_small_RNA9668
Source: RNAcentral